UUUCCUCAGCAAUGCAUGUGUUUCGUUCCUGUUUUACAAUAAAGUUUUGGACAUCUUGAAUUUUUGGGUGGUUUUUGUCUCGAGUUAUCUUCUGGUGAGUUCUUUUUUCUUAGAUCUAUUUUUUCUACUGAAUUUUUAUUUUUAGUAUUCAUAUUUCUCUGCGUAGUGCUUCUUUGUUUAAGAUUUUGGAUAAGGAAUAUUUGCAUACUUGAUUACAACUUCUAUCUUGAGACGCUACAUCUUUUAAUUUCUCUGUUUUGUUGCCCAUCUUGGACAUGCAUGUUGUGAUUUGAUAAAAUAUUAGAGAUUCUAUUGUUGCCCAUAAAGUGUUUGAUAAAAUGUCAUAUGAAAGCCGUGCCUACUGCCAUCAGAAAAUAGCUCUAGCAUUAGCUGCUAAUAUACUGUGACUUAGUUCUUAAAAACUUGAAAAGGAGGAACAGAAAGACUCAUGAAGCUAAAUGAAUUAAUUAUUGCUUAGUGCUUUAAAAAAUGUGCGUGGUCAAUCACAUAUUUCCGACUUCGUGUUUUUUCGAAAUACCUUUAUGGCUACUUUUCUCUAUUUUUUUCAUGCUUGGAGCAGCAGCAACAACAACUAUAACAAAUAAGUAUAAUCUCAUUAGUGGGGUCUGGGAAGCAACAACGACAACAACCCAGUAUAAUCCCACUAGUGGGGUCUGGGGAGGGUAGUAUGUACGCAGACCUUACCCCUACCCUGGGGUAGAGAGGCUGUUUCCUAUAGAAACUCGUCAUCCUUCCCUCCAAGAACUCCUCACUAUGCUCUUGGGUGACUCGAACUCACAACCUCAAGGUUGGAAGUGGAGGGUGCUUACCAUCAGAGCAACCCACAUUGUCAACAAUAUUCUGUUUCGUCGGUUACUUUGUUUCAUGUGAAGAGAAAACGUUCUUCUUUGAUGGAACAAUUAUGCUCUCUAGUGUGUGAAAUUGGAGAGAUGCCAAAGUACGGAUGGUUGCUGUCAGAGCAAGUAAAAUUAUAUUCGAGCCAGAAAAUCAUUAAGUAAUGCAUGUCUCUGUUACUUUUCAUUGAUAAUGAGGUUAUGCAGACCAUUUUUUAAGCUUAGGCUGGUUAUUUUGAAAAUAACCGAGGUUAUGUUGUUCUUGAGUUCGUGAACCUGUCAUCGAUAGACUGAAAGGUGCACCUAUAUUCUAUGCAAGAAAGGGCUCAAGGGCUUUUCAAGAAAGUCGGAAUAAAUGGAAUUUGCAUAUAUUUGAGAGUUUUCAUUAUUAAACAAGAAACAUAAUAGUAGCAAUGAAGGUGUUCAUCAGCUAGAGUCGUCUACAUAUAUUUAUCUGAAAGGAAUUUUCUUCUUAAAAUUAUCUAGAAGCAAAGAUUUCUGUCUUCUAUACCUUUAUUCUUAUUUUCUAAUAGUCCAUUUCUACAUCAAUCACGGCUCACAAUCGUUUGGUGCAACAUAUAGUGGCAGAGCAAACAUCCGAGUUUGAGAAGUUAUCAGCUGUUCACGAUGACAAUAAAUAAGUAGUGUAUAAUCUUGAUACUGAACUACGUAGUUUAGCUUUAGCAUCUAUACAUUAUUUGUUAUCCUGAUUACUCUGGGGAAACUUGAAAGAUUGUUUAUCUUGUUGAAUGUGUUAACUGGUUGAAAUAUGCAUUGUCCCUUGUUAAGUUAUUGUGUGGAGUUCACUUUAAAGUUACUGCAUAGUCUAGCUUUCUUAUAUAAAAUUCUUUCCAUAUGUAUGCGGUUCAAAAAGUUCAGUAAAUGCUAUUUUUAUUUUUAGGAAGCAAUGCUAAAAUUUUGUUCUUUUUCUCUCUGCCAAGUAUCUGUGUAACUUUCAUGCCUCUUCCAAACGCUUGAGAAACUACAUGUCUUUAAACUUAGAAGGAGCCAUAUGCUUGAGAAUUGAGGUAACUUACCUCAUUAUUCUUUUGCUUGAGCAUGUCUGGAUGACACAGUGGGGGAUCAAGUCACAUGGCUUUUCAUAUGUUUGUCUUAAGGGCUACAAAGUGUGAAUCAUCUGAUUUACGUUGUGAAAUUUCGAUCUACAAUGAGAAAUGAGAAUAAGUGGAAGAAUGCAAUUUUAUCGGACUAAUUCUGCAUUUGGCCAACUUAGGUAUUUGUGCAAUAUCAUCAAUCAUUGAAGGGAAGGAUAUAAUGAAAUUGCAACAUCCUGGUUUUGUAUUUGACUAAUUUCUGGUGAGUGUUAUGUUUUAAAGUUAGUGUUCUCUACUAAAAGGUUUUAAAAAAAUCUCCUCUAAAACCAGCUUCAAAAGCUCUAAGCCAGCUUUGUAAAGCUUUAAAAGUCUUCUCUUAAUUACAAGAAUUGAAUGUCCAACCAAUAUUAAUUUGUCGUAUUUAGGUGGUCAAGUUGAGAUACUGUAUAGAAAUUGAGAAGACAAAGUUGAUAUAGUGUUUGUGUUAGCAUAAGUGAAAUUUCUUUUGUACAAAUGCUAAGCUGCAAUUGUCAGGGAAACAACUUAUUAAAGUGAAAGUAACAACUCAAACAAUGUUUCAUUCUUCUUUUUGUUGAAGAGUCGAUAUUCUCUACUCUCUGAGUUAUCGAGCUGAUUUUACUUUCAAGUUUUAACUGAAAAAAAGAACUUCGUGCUUGCAAAACUGAUAUAUAAUUUCCUCUUCCAUGAUUACAGAUGAGAUGUUUAUCAAUGGUCUUCUCAAGCUUUUUACAUUUCAACUAAGAAGCAUUUCCAGAGGCGUGCAACGCAACAACAAGUUAUUUACGAGAUAAAAAGAGGGGUCUGCGUAAGUCAUUUGAAUAGUUGGAUAUGUCAUUGCUUUCAGUUUCUGGUAGGACAUAUAAGACAAAUAUAGAGAUGAGGUAGAAUUCUUAAAGCAUUCUUUAAUUUGAAGACCUUAUAUAAGCCAAUAACUGUACAUCUGCCAUAUUAUAAUACCUUGGGUUUGAUUUUCUUUCGUGGAAAACGUAAAGGCAGGCUAUAACUAAAGAAUUUGCAUAGUAUAGGUUGAAGAAGCCAAGUCCAAUGUCAAAAAAUAAUUAUUGAUUUUCUAAGUUGCUUUACUUUUGAUCUAUUACCAACCAAAUAGCAGAAGCUUAUGCAAUUAGUUUUAUCAUCUGCUGGUUUUCCUAGAAAAUCUGCUUGAAGUUGUUUCUAUAAUAUUUGCAUGGAAAUGAAACGUAGUUCCUAUGUUUCUGCUUUGCACCCCUUCCACUUAAGCUCAUCUAAUUGUCGCGAAAUAUUGUAUUUAUGCAGAUGUUUGAUUAGGCAAUAUUAACUUUGUUUUAUGUUACUGCUAAAGAAUUGGGGACUUUUUAUCUUUCUUUUUUAGUGCAUGAUGCAUAUGAACUUUAUAUUUGUCAGCUGAAGCAUAUUAAUAUAAGAGCUUAUAGCUUCCUGGUUGGCUGAAAAUUAAAUAAAUCUUACCUGUAUCUUACAGGCUGUAAGUAUUAAUGACUAGCAAUAGAAUGAGUUAGUGGCAUGUUUCUACGCUUAACUGACCUGGUCAAAGCAGUCAAAGAUGGAAAGAACAAACUUUCAGCUGCCUAUAUUAACUGACUCUAUGCCAGGAAUUGCUCAAACCAUAUUUCGUGGACCUUGAUCUUAGUUCUCCGGAUCAGACCUGUAACGACCUGACUUGUCGUUUUCAGAAUUUAAGCCCCAUUUAGCGGUAUAAGGCCCUGAGCAGCUUCUUAUUAUGUGUAUUGACUUGCGUUCGUGGUUGAAUUCAGUUACCGGAUGAUUCAGAGUGAUUUGGGACACUUGGUCCCCAAAACGGAAGUUUAAGUCUUAAGUUUUUUCCGUAGUCGGAACUGUGUGAAGACGACUCCGGAAUGAAAUUUUGAUGAUGCCAAUAGCUCCGUAUGGUGAUUAUGGACUUAGGAGCGUGUCCGAAAAAUUAUUUGGAGGUCUGUAGAGGAAUUUGGCUUGAAAUGACGAAAGAUGAAUUUUUGAAAAGUUUGACCGGGGGUUGACUUUUUGAUAUCGAGGCCGGAAUCUGAUUCUUGAAAUUGGAAUAGCUUCGUUAUGUCAAUUAUGACUUGUGUGCAAAAUGUGAAGUCAUUCCAGAUUGAUUUGAUGUGUUUCGGCACAAAAUAUAGAAUUUGAAAUUUCAAAAUUUAUUAGGCUUGAAUUGGGGUAUGAUUCGUGACUUUGAUGUUGUUUGAUGUGAUUUGAGGCCUUGAGCAGGUUCGUGUUAUGUAUUGGGACUGGUUGGUACGAUUGGACGGGGUCCUGGGGGCCUCGGGUUUGAUUCGGGGUAGUUCCGAACCAAGUUUGGGUGUUUUGAUGUUGCUGGUUGCUGGUUCUGGUGUUGUUCUUCGCGUUCGCGAGGAGCCCCUAGCGUUCGCGAAGAAAGAUUUUGUUGUUGGACUUUGUUCUUCGCGUUCGCGAAGAGAUUCUCGCGUUCGCAAAAAAGAAAAUUUUAUUGUUCGUCGUCUCACUUUAGAGGCUCAUAUCUCGCAAUCUAUAAGGAAUUUAGAGAUGAUCCAAAAAUAAAAGUUGUAACAUUUGUGUCUAGUAUUCAGAAAGAUAAACCAUUUGGCAUUUGGAGUUGUGUACCAAAAGUUAUGGUGCAUACACUACAAGCUGUCUAGGAAGAGUUUGGAAAUUUCUGUUGCACAGGGCUGAUUUUGGAAAAUUAUAUUUCGCAAUUUAUAAGGAAUGGGGAGAUGAAAAACAAAUGAAAGUUAUAGCCCUUUGAGUCUAGUUUCCAGAAAGUUAAACCAUUUGUCAUUUGGAAAUUUGUAUAAAAUGUUAUGACCAUUAUACUAGAGGCUAUUUGAGAAGAGUUUGAAAAUAGUUGUUGGAGAAUUUGUUCUUCGUGAACGCGAGGGAAGGGUUGUGAACGCGAAGAACAAAUCCCUAGGCAGCAGGAUAAAGUCCAAAUUCGUCUCAUUCUUUCAUUUUUGGACCAAGGAAGCUCGGGUGAGGCGAUUUUUCUAGAGUUUUUCAAGGGAAACGUUGGGGUAAGAAUUUCUAACUUGAUUUUGGUUAAAUUACAUGAAUCUAUUGUUGUUUUUAUCACUAAAUUUAUGAAUUGGGUUGAAAAUGGUAGAAAUCCUUUAGACUUUAAUUUAAGAUUUGAAGGGCGAUCCGUUAUCGGAAUUUGAUAAUUUUGGUAUGGUUGAACUUUUAUCGGAAUGGGUGUUCGAAUUUCGUAAAAAUUUUAUCGGGUUCCGAGGGGCGGGCCCCGCGCUGACUUUUUAGAAUAAAAUUUUAAGUUAGUGUUUUAUUAUCCGGAAUUGUUUCUGAUGAAUUUUAAUGAAGUGAUACAAUUAAUUUGGAUAGAUUUGAGCUGUCCGGAGGUCAAUCCAAGCAAGAAGGCGAUUUUGGAAUAUCGGCGCAACUUCAAUAAGGUAAGUGUCUUGCUUAACCUCAAGUGGGAAAAAUACCCUUAGGCAUUGAGUAUUAUGUGGAAAUUGUGUAAUUGAAAACCAUGUACGCGAGGUGACGAGUACGUACUUGGUUUAUAUGUGCAUAUUUCAUUGAUUAAAAUCCUUAGACGCCCUUAUAUAUUAAGUUGGAAAUUAUUAGCACUUAUUAAAUCCUCUAUUUGUCAUGCCUAGAUCCCUGUUUGUUAAAAUUAUUUUUAUAUGAUGAUUUGGUAUGAUUUCCACCUUGAAUUUAUGUGAAAUAUUAUUUUGUUGAGUUGUUCACUCCCGGAUAUUUUUGUUAAAAUUUUUGUGCAUAUUAUGGUCGAGCCAUGGGCUCCUUAUUGUGAAAAAUGAUGUAUUAUUGGUUUCCGUAGCAAUUUGAAAUAUUUGAGCACUUGAUGAGCCAUUUAUGAUAUAUGAUCACUUGAUGUACAGUUGUUAAAAUCAUAUUUACUUUGGGAUUACAGAACGGUAUUCUGGGAGAUCCCUCUGCCCUGCAUAUUACUUUGGGACUAUGGAACGGUAUUCCGG
This 5856-nucleotide long non-coding RNA is filed under the name Nicotiana tabacum (common tobacco). Its description in RNAcentral is "long non-coding RNA (NTAB_LNC006010)". The record is from RNAcentral. Lineage: Eukaryota; Viridiplantae; Streptophyta; Magnoliopsida; Solanales; Solanaceae.